GGCGGGAUAACUCAGAUGGCUAGAGCACACGGUUCAUACCCGUGGUGUCGCAGGUUCAAAUCCUGUUCCCGCUACUA
Molecule: transfer RNA, 77 nt
Filed under: Coprococcus sp. AM27-12LB
Lineage: Bacteria; Bacillati; Bacillota; Clostridia; Lachnospirales; Lachnospiraceae
Description: tRNA-Met
Rfam family: tRNA
About the family: Transfer RNA (tRNA) molecules are approximately 80 nucleotides in length.
Source: RNAcentral